RNAcentral lists this small nucleolar RNA (96 nucleotides) under Torulaspora delbrueckii CBS 1146. Lineage: Eukaryota; Fungi; Ascomycota; Saccharomycetes; Saccharomycetales; Saccharomycetaceae. The record is from RNAcentral.
UGUUAUAUGAUGACAACCAUAUCUCAGCUCACUCAGAUCUACAAAUGAUCGACAACGAUUUCCUAUCCAACAUUCAUCAAUUUAACUGACUCGACA